GAGGGCGCCAUAUUGGACGAGUCUGUCGCCAUUUUGGAUUGAUGAUCCAUUGCAUGAGCGAACUUUGCUGAGCUCAGCUGAGCAUAGGCCUGUAUCGUAGCCCUCCUCAAACACACCCAAGUCAGAGAAGAUGCCGACUGUUUGGCCGAAGAACCCAAUGGCUCUAUGGAAGCCUUACAUCCGAGAGAUAGGUCCUUUCCUCUUCCCGUGUAUACUAAUCACAGGGUAUCUCAUGGGGAAAGCUACCAUGAUUGGAUUGAGAGAAAACAGGAAGCAACAAGCUCUGGAAUCAUCUGGCCACCAUUAACCCAGUGGAGUGUCUAGUUGCAACUUUGUUGGAUUCUGACAAUGUCUGUGCUCUCCUUUCUUCAUCGUCUCAACCCAUCCAUGGCUGGACUACUCAACUACCCCAACAUCAUCAUGUGACAUGAAAUGUGCCAAUGCGAAGUCAAAAACUGUCCGGCACUCCUUUCUGUUACUUUUAUUCAAAUGUUCAUUAUUGAAUGUCAUCUUAAAUCAUCAAAUUAUCUUCAUUGACUUACACAUGUAUUAUGAAUAAGUCAGUCUUGUGUGCUAGGUUAACAGUUUUUGGUUGACUUUCUCUUUGGAUAUCAAUCAAAUAUCAAUUGAUUUUGUCCUUCACGCAGUACAAACAUACAUGAUCAGUUUGAAGGAAUUUGGUUUCAACCAUAUUUUUCUCAUCCCUCAGCAGAAUUUCUCCUUGUUGUGAAGUGAAGUACUUUUUUUUCCUUCCUAAACACUGUACCAACUUUACCCAGUAACAAAGCACAGUAUUUGUCACCAGCAUACAUGAGCGUGUAGAGUGCCUAUAUUCACACAAAACCUGCUGAGUGUGUAAGGUAAACUCACACCCUGACAUUUCAACAUUGUUUACUUUCGGCAGUUUUCAAUAAAUGUUUGAGAGUACUCUAGGAGCAAUGGUACCAAUUCUAGUGGUCCGGCAGGGCGUUAUGUUGUGUAUUGUCAGCGAAAUAUUUGAGAUGAUAAAAAUCUGAUUUAAAGGAGAGCUCAGUCCCUUUACGAUUAGUUUCAGUGUUUAAUUGAUCCUCCAUGAAAAUUUGAAUUGGGAAGUUUAUUUAAAAGUUGCGGUUGCAUGGGUUGCUAGAAAUUUAAAGGGAAUGUUUAUCCAGAGAUAAGUUGAAGAUUUAUUCCUUUAGAAUUGGCAUAGAUUCUUAAUGUGUGAUCUAUUUUACUUCUUCAGUGGAUUUCAUCGUUUUGGGAAAGCACUGUGCUUACUAUGAAUAGCCACGGCUGUUCUUUGUUCAACAGAUUUUGCUGUGUACAUCCUAGCAAAUUAUACUCAUAAAAUAACAAAACAGGAUUUGUUACAAUUGAAGACA
Molecule: long non-coding RNA, 1361 nt
Organism: Acanthaster planci (crown-of-thorns starfish)
Lineage: Eukaryota; Metazoa; Echinodermata; Asteroidea; Valvatida; Acanthasteridae
Source: RefSeq, a predicted model, not a curated record